UACGAAGGGUGCAAACGUUGCUCGGAAUUAUUGGGCGUAAAGCGCACGUAGGCGGCAUAGCAAGUCGAAUGUGAAAUCCCUCGGCUUAACCAAGGAAGUGCAUCCGAAACUGCUGUGCUUGAGUACGAAAGAGGAUCGCGGAAUUCCCGGUGUAGAGGUGAAAUUCGUAGAUAUCGGGAGGAACACCAGUGGCGAAGGCGGCGAUCUGGGUCGAUACUGACGCUGAGGUGCGAAAGCGUGGGGAGCAAACAGG
Molecule: ribosomal RNA, 253 nt
Filed under: uncultured bacterium
Lineage: Bacteria
Description: partial 16S ribosomal RNA
Rfam family: Bacterial small subunit ribosomal RNA
Source: RNAcentral